This is a long non-coding RNA of Myotis brandtii (Brandt's bat), 455 nucleotides long. RefSeq lists it as uncharacterized. The record is from RefSeq and is a predicted model, not a curated record. NCBI's taxonomy places the organism in Eukaryota, Metazoa, Chordata, Mammalia, Chiroptera, Vespertilionidae. The transcript has 2 exons.
UGCAUUUUUCUUUUCCUUUUGUUUUUCCCUUUUCAUUUUAAGGAAUAUUAUUCUAAAGCAAAAACCUUAAUAAAACCAUAGGUCUAUUCCAAGAUUUCUCAGUAUCGUCUGUAACAUUCCAUUCAGAAGGUAGAAAACCACAAAGUCCUUCCUGAGGACAGGUGUAGAUGGAAAGUAAUACUGCAUUACUGCACUGUACAGAAUACAACUGUGAAGACAGGGAAACGCAAUUAUUUAAUUUCCCAUUCCCCAGGUCACUUUUGUUGAAGAACUGCUCACUUAACAUCCUGGGAACUAUCUUGUUGAGAUCUGCCACUGUGAUCUACGAGUGAUGAGCCUUUUCCAGUUAGGGAAUUUAUUUGUCAUGUUUACACCAUGGGAAAAUUGGAGCCCUCCCCCCAUAAGAUAAUGAAGAAAAAUUAAAUUCAUGAAAGAAAGUAUACAUUUAAAGUAGG